This is a small nucleolar RNA of Vulpes vulpes (red fox), 99 nucleotides long. The record is from Ensembl. Lineage: Eukaryota; Metazoa; Chordata; Mammalia; Carnivora; Canidae.
UUGUAUCCUGUUAAGGUUUUCACUACAGAUACAAGAGAAAAGUUUCCUGGAGCUUUCUGUCUGAGUAUGGCAGUCAAGAUUGAAUGAGGCAAUAUAGUA